UCCUUUGGAUGUCUUCCUGUAAGUUAACUUCUGGUGGUUGCCAGCAGAUUGCUCGAGCUUUGCCCCGUCUGGUAGUGGAAGUGAUUAAUGAUGAAGCUGAUGAAGACAUGGGUAAUUUUGUUGAUAAGUUAUACAUGUAUAGAUCUCUUGAAGGGCCAAGAGAUGAUGCACCAAAGGUUGUUUCCAUCUUGUAGGCAUUUGCACUGCAGGAAGAUGUAUCAGAUAUUCUUAUUUUGGCUAUUGGACAAGUGGCAAGCAUUUUUUUUCUUUUUGCGGGAAUGUUGAAUUCAGGAAGAACUGGUUAUAUUAGCCCGCAAGGUCUAUAAUUUUUGUUGGUGAAAGUUGAGUAAACAACUUCUGCCCUUGUCCUGUGAUGUUACGUAUGGCAUUCAAAGCAGAAACUCUAUGAAGGACCACAAUUUUUUUCUUUGCUUUGGUUCUUGAGGAGGACUCGAUCAAGAAGGGGCUAAUGAAGAAGAUAGAUCUCUCUGUAACAAGUAGACCACUUGAUCUUGUUUGUAUUCAGAUGCUUCUAAAUUUUUAUGUUUCUUUUCCGUCAUACUCAUUUGAUCAUAAACGAGAAGGCUGCCAGAGAAAAGGGAUGGAAGGCGCAUUUUGG
This 619-nucleotide unclassified non-coding RNA is filed under the name Hevea brasiliensis (rubber tree). The record is from RNAcentral. Lineage: Eukaryota; Viridiplantae; Streptophyta; Magnoliopsida; Malpighiales; Euphorbiaceae.